CCUACGGGAGGCAGCAGUUAGGAAUCUUCCACAAUGGGCGCAAGCCUGAUGGAGCGACACUGCAUGAGGGAUGAAGGUUUUCGGAUCGUAAACCUCUGAACUAGGGACGAUAAUGACGGUACCUAGGUAAUAGCACCGGCUAACUCCGUGCCAGCAGCCGCGGUAAU
This 167-nucleotide ribosomal RNA is filed under the name uncultured bacterium. RNAcentral describes it as "partial 16S ribosomal RNA". It matches the Rfam family "Bacterial small subunit ribosomal RNA", at positions 338 to 524 of the family's 1533-position model. The record is from RNAcentral.